CCUACGGGUGGCUGCAGUGAGGAAUAUUGGUCAAUGGUCGGGAGACUGAACCAGCCAAGCCGCGUGAGUGAGGAAGGUACAGAGUAUCGUAAACCUCUUUUGUCAGGGAACAAAGACUGGGACGCAUCCCCGAAUGAGUGUACCUGAAGAAAAAGCAUCGGCUAACUCCGUGCCAGCAGCCGCGGUAAUACGGAGGAUGCGAGCGUUAUCCGGAUUUGUUGGGUUUAAGGGGUGCGCAGGCGGUCUGUUAAGUCAGCGUUCAAAGCCCGGGGCUCAACGCCGGCCGGCCGUUGAAACUGGCAGUCGCGAGUUGGAGAGAAGUAUGCGGAAUGCGUGGUGUAGCGGUGAAAUGCAUAGAUAUCGCGCAGAACUCCGAUUGCGAAGGCAGCAUGCCGGCUCCACACUGACGCUGAGGCACGAAAGCGUGGGUAUCGAACAGGAUUAGAUACCCUUGUAGUC
This 459-nucleotide ribosomal RNA is filed under the name uncultured bacterium. RNAcentral describes it as "partial 16S ribosomal RNA". It matches the Rfam family "Bacterial small subunit ribosomal RNA", at positions 338 to 795 of the family's 1533-position model. The record is from RNAcentral.